Bombus impatiens (common eastern bumble bee) is the source of this 112-nucleotide long non-coding RNA. RefSeq lists it as uncharacterized. The record is from RefSeq and is a predicted model, not a curated record. The transcript has 2 exons. Lineage: Eukaryota; Metazoa; Arthropoda; Insecta; Hymenoptera; Apidae.
AAUUAUAGUAAUUGUUCAAAUAUAUCAUUUAGUAGGUUUUUAAAUCAUUUUCAAUCGAAAUCACUGUUGCAUAAGGAAAUGUUAGCUGUGUUGUCUGCUGUAACGGAGAUUA